AACGAACGCUGGCGGCAUGCCUAACACAUGCAAGUCGAACGAAAACUUCGGGUCUAGUGGCGCACGGGGGCGUAACGCGUGGGAACCUGCCCUUAGGUUCGGAAUAACUCACCGAAAGGGGUGCUAAUACCGGAGAAUCUCAUCGGACCAAAGAGUUAUCGCCUUUGGCUGGGGCCGCGUUAGAUUAGCGGGUUGGUAGGGUAAAAGCCUGCCAAGGCGAGGAUCCAUAGCUGGUCGGGGAGGAGGCUCAGUAACACUGGGAAUGAGACACGGACCAGACCGGUAGGGGAGGGAGCAGUGGGGAAUAUUGGACACGGGGCCAAAGUCUGACCCAGCCACGUGGGGGGAGUGAUGAAGGCCUUAGGGUUGUAAAGCUCUCUGAGACGGGAUGAUAAUGACAGUACCGGGAGAAUAAGCGCCGGCUAACUACGUG
This 433-nucleotide ribosomal RNA is filed under the name uncultured bacterium. RNAcentral's name for it is "partial 16S ribosomal RNA". It matches the Rfam family "Bacterial small subunit ribosomal RNA", at positions 29 to 507 of the family's 1533-position model. The record is from RNAcentral.